This is a long non-coding RNA of Hypomesus transpacificus, 1096 nucleotides long. RefSeq lists it as uncharacterized. The transcript is spliced from 5 exons. NCBI's taxonomy places the organism in Eukaryota, Metazoa, Chordata, Actinopteri, Osmeriformes, Osmeridae. The record is from RefSeq and is a predicted model, not a curated record.
AGGACUAACGCUGCGUCGCUUGAGCAAUGUUUCUCUUUGCUCCAAAGUCAAUUCCUUCGCCUUGCUCUUUUCUCACAGAGCUCAAUAAAAGUCCCGGAGAUCUGUAAAAUGUGGACGUGUGGAGAGGCAUUCACAUAGGAACUCAGACGUGGCAUUAGCUGUACCCUCCAGGAAUGUACCGAGCCCUUUCAGCAAACACCAGCCUCAAACACCAACUGAAACUCCCUUCAAUGGCUGGAAGGGACGCAAAGCGUAACGCUUCAUUUGUUGUGAUCGCACUCUGUCUCUUUAUUAUCUCCACAUCACUCUCAUGGAGAUGUAGUCGAUAUGAAUCUCUGUCCCGGUCCUUCUCUCAGUCAGUCCAGGCGUCGGCUUUACAUGGAGGCUGACAAGAAGGAGACAGCAGGGAUACGCUUCCAGCAGAUUCAGCGAAAUGUUGUGCAUUUCAGGAUAAUGAAGUCACUUCAAAGGUGAGGCCAAACGAGGGUCUGUGCAGUGUCGAGUUGUUCCAGGGUGCUGCUCCUGUGUUUGUGCACUCGGGGCUGGGGUUAGGACUCUCACUCUAAGUUAAGUACCAGGAUUAUUUCAGUUCAUUCUAUCAAACCAAUUGCAGAGUUAUUUAGUUAAAAACUGAUUUAUUAUUAGAUGUUAAGAUACAGCCCUACCCUCUUUUAAACAUCUGUUAUUUUUCCUAGGAUAUUUUGUUUCUGUUAUUUAUUAUUUUUGUGUUGUAAUUCUACAGAACUGACACAGAGCAAAUAUGCUGCUGCUAGCAAUUAAAACAGUUCUCUUCUGAGCACUGAAUGAGCCAUGCCAUUUGUUAUUAACACAGAACAAACUAAUUUAGGCAUCAGUCGAAUGUCUGUAAACAGUAAAUUCACCGUCACAACAUAGGUCAACAGGAUGCGGUAGAAAACCCAAACUGUGAGCUUUCAUGGCCCUCCAUGUCACUCUGAACAUCACUGGAAGCCAGUAGAGGAUGUUUAUGACUGUGAGCUUCCUCUUCGUGGCAUGCGUGUGCUCAUCUAGUUUCACACUUUUUUUUGUCUUUGCAGAACACUUCUGUAGAUUUCCCAAGACGCUCGACUGUCUAUUU